GCGUAUGAUUAGCUAGUUGGUGAGGUAACGGCUCACCAAGGCUACGAUCAUUAGCUGGUCUGAGAGGAUGAUCAGCCACACGGGAACUGAGACACGGUCCCGACUCCUACGGGAGGCAGCAGUGGGGGAAUCUUAGACAAUGGGCGAAAGCCUGAUCUAGCCAUGCCGCGUGAGUGAUGAAAGGCCCUAGGGUCGUAAAGCUCUUUUCGCUGGGGGAUGAUAAUGACAGUACCCCAGUAAGAGGAAGAGCGCCCGGCUACACCUCCCCGCUCGCCCAGCAGCCCGCGGUAAAUACGGAGGGGGGUUUAGCGUUGUUUCGGAAAUUACUGGCGUAAAGCGCGCGUAGGCGGGAUCAGAAAGUUAGGGGGUGAAAUCCCCGGGGCUCAACCCCCGGACUGCCU
Molecule: ribosomal RNA, 401 nt
Filed under: uncultured bacterium
Lineage: Bacteria
Description: bacterial SSU rRNA
Rfam family: Bacterial small subunit ribosomal RNA
Source: RNAcentral